This 253-nucleotide ribosomal RNA is filed under the name uncultured bacterium. RNAcentral describes it as "partial 16S ribosomal RNA". It matches the Rfam family "Bacterial small subunit ribosomal RNA", at positions 524 to 776 of the family's 1533-position model. The record is from RNAcentral.
UACGUAGGGUGCGAGCGUUAAUCGGAAUUACUGGGCGUAAAGCGGGCGCAGGCGGUCCGCAAAGUCUGAUGUGAAAGCCCCGGGCUCAACCUGGGAACUGCAUUGGAAACUAACGGGCUCGAGUGUGGCAGAGGGGGGUGGAAUUCCACGUGUAGCAGUGAAAUGCGUAGAGAUGUGGAGGAACACCGAUGGCGAAGGCAGCCCCCUGGGCUGAGAUUGACGCUCAGGCACGAAAGCGUGGGGAGCAAACAGG